GAUUACUGGUCUUGCAGGGUCUUGUGCCAGUUGAACUGAAUUGGGACUGGCUCAAGAAGAGAUCAUCUAGCAAAGCACUGAGUCAGCAGCUAUCAGAAGGCACAGUAAGGAAGAGAGAGAAGCUUCCUUUUCAGCUGUCCUGCACAGAGUGAAAACAGUGAACAUCCGAUUGUCUCAUGGUGAGGCAGCACAGGAAUUUCCCCUCAGGAUCAGGCCCCUGAAACCCUGGGCUUGCACAGGUUCCCCCACUUACAGAGAUGUACCCCAGGAAUGCCUCAGCAGGGGAUUCACCAGGGAUGCAUAUCGCACUGCCAUGCCCUGACUUCGGACAAGACCAGAUGUCCCAGCACAGCUGAUCCUUUACCAAAGAAAUGCAUUAUUACAAAAAUGUUCUAACCUGAGCUGGAAGAAAGAAGGCCCCAACACAGAGCUAUCAGCAUCUCAAUCAACACUGGAACAGUAUCUUUCUCCAUUUCCCUUCAGUGUGGAGUGUAACUGAAUAAUCAUCAUUGAACAUGGAAAAUAGCAAGAUUCCAACUCAGGACAAACAGAACCAAUAAAACAUUGGUACCAGUAUUUCAACAAGAGCCAUCUUUUUUAUUAAUAGGUUCCAAAAGCAAGGAUGAACCCCCAAAGUGCUGGAGGUAAACUGGGGAGCAACCAGAUCAAAGCUACCUUCCUUUCUGGUCCUGCUAUGAGGGGCAAAUUGGGAAUAAAUCUAUAGCAAUAAAUUGUUUUCUCACUAUUCUAUUUCCUUGGUAAACAAAAAAAGAAAGUAGCUCAGGAACCAAGAAUGGGCAGGGGAUGUGGGGUUCUCUAAAAAAGAAAGACUGCUUUAAACUAUAUCUUUUGUUAGCACUUCAGGUCAGCCUGGCAUUCAGUAGCAUUUUCAACAAAAGUAGAGGGAGGGGAUAGUUUCCUUUUUCAGCCUAACAUUGAAUGUGCCUUUUUUUUUUUUUGGUUGCUUAGGGAGUUAUGUCAACAAUUACUGUGUAACACAGUGAGAAUUGAAAUAUCACUUCUGCUUGGGUUGUGAAUGUCCUAAAUCGCUGAAUAAUCACUGACAUGCAAUAAUUAGAAAAUAUGCUCAUUUAUGACUCUCUGAAUUUUUCCCCAGUGUAACUCUAUUUUGUUCUGUGGAAUUACACUAGAUAACGAUUUGGUUUAUUAAGACUAAGUGAAUAGAGGCCAAGGACUCAAAGGACAAUGGAUUCCAUUAAACACUGUAUAGCAUUCUAGAAUGGGGGAUUGUUAAUUUCUGAAUAGUAUCUUGGAUUCUAAUUAUUGAUUAGAAGAGAUGGGAAAUAGCUAAGUGAAAAAAUCCACUGAAAACCUCCUGUAGUAUUUUCUAAUAUUUAAUUACUAAAACAUGUGUUCAGCACUAAAGCACACUGAAAACCAAGCCUUAAUCUAGCUCUUUUUGUAUGAUAUCUUUAAUUAUAGACAUGGAACACUUUGGAGUGCUUGCUUCAGGGAGAGGUGACUGGAGACUGUUUUUUAAAAAAUUAUUAUAAAAUGUUAAGGUACUAGGCUUAUGAGUGCAUUUGUGAGACAUUUGAAGUAUGCCCCUGGGCAGAGAUCCCACAACGCUCUUUGCAUCACUUAAGCUACACAUCAAAAUGUUAAACAGAA
Molecule: long non-coding RNA, 1632 nt
Organism: Alligator mississippiensis (American alligator)
Lineage: Eukaryota; Metazoa; Chordata; Crocodylia; Alligatoridae
Exons: 3
Source: RefSeq, a predicted model, not a curated record